CCUACGGGAGGCAGCAGUGGGGAAUCUUGCGCAAUGGGCGAAAGCCUGACGCAGCAACGCCGCGUGGGGGAUGAAGGCUCUCGGGUUGUAAACCCCUUUCAGCAGGGACGAAUCAAGACGGUACCUGCAGAAGAAGCCCCGGCUAACUACGUGCCAGCAGCCGCGGUAACACGUAGGGGGCAAGCGUUGUCCGGAUUUAUUGGGCGUAAAGAGCUCGUAGGUGGCUGAGUAAGUCGGAUGUUAAAUCCCCAGGCUCAACCUGGGACACCACCCGAUACUGCUCUGGCUAGAGUCCGGUAGGGGAGCGUGGAAUUCCUGGUGUAGCGGUGAAAUGCGCAGAUAUCAGGAGGAACACCAGCGGCGAAGGCGGCGCUCUGGGCCGGUACUGACACUGAGGAGCGAAGGCGUGGGUAGCAAACAGGAUUAGAUACCCUGGUAGUCCACGCCGUAAACGUUGGGCACUAGGUGUGGGGUUCUAUUCAACGGACUCCGUGCCGUAGCUAACGCAUUAAGUGCCCGCCUGGGGAUCGGCCGCAAGGCAAAACUUAAUGAAUUGACGGCUGNGAGNGCGAGCGACACGAGGAGAG
Molecule: ribosomal RNA, 587 nt
Filed under: uncultured bacterium
Lineage: Bacteria
Description: bacterial SSU rRNA
Rfam family: Bacterial small subunit ribosomal RNA
Source: RNAcentral